Long non-coding RNA from Lycium ferocissimum, 3039 nucleotides. RefSeq lists it as uncharacterized. Lineage: Eukaryota; Viridiplantae; Streptophyta; Magnoliopsida; Solanales; Solanaceae. The record is from RefSeq and is a predicted model, not a curated record. The transcript has 3 exons.
GAUAAUUCAUGUCGAUGGCUUGUUGCAAAUCAAGAUAAAUCAAUUGAUCCUAUUUUGUAAAUCCUAGAAAUGGCGAAACUUUAGUUUUAUUUAUAAUGCAUUGCCUCUUCUCUUUCAUUUUCCUCUUCUCUUUUUCGGAUUUCAAAUUUUUUUAGCCGUGUGUAAUUUGGCAGAUUUGGAUAAUCCUAAGUACUUGGAUUUAAGCCCUUGAUUAUCAUACAUGGCUUGAACCUAAAAUAUGCACAAAAUUUGUACAUCAUGAAAAUGGUCAUCUGCUAAUGUAAAAGACAAUAGAAUUUUAGGUUAUUGGCUCACCAGCUAUAGAGGUAUAAUUGCUUCUUGAAAGAGUUGAAUCCUAUAUAGAAGCAUAAAGAAGCUGGAAGCACCAUUUUUGUGUUAAAAGUAUGAUAAUAUUAGUUUGUAACUUGCUGGUUCUGUUUUUUUGGAAUAUGGUAAUAUGUCAUAGUUUAUCACCAAAAAGAUAUUAGUUUGUAUGUGGGGGAAGAAUGAAAACUAGUCUCAGUAACAAUUUGGCAUCUCUUAAUUUCUAUACUUAGCUGAUGUGGUAAUAUUGUAUUGAUGUAAGUUGGUUACUGCAGUAGUAUAUGUGGUUUAGAGUUUAUUGUUGAGAGGUUGUUAACUGCAGAAGUAGGUAUGCUGUUUUUUUGUCUUGCUCUGUACUGCAAAAUAAAAAGAUGUUAGUCCUCUAUAUCUCAAAUAUCUACUAGGAAAAUAAUUUGAAUUUAAAUCUCGAGUUCUUUUUCAUCUUCUUUUUAUAACUGAGAAAUUCUCAAAGGUAGUGGCGCACUGUUCGAAACUUGGUGGAUCAUGGUCCGCUACUCUACUCUCCUCCACUUAAGUACCGGGCUUUUGAAUGUGGCGUGAUUAAGAGUAGGAUGAAAUGAUUUACCUUGAUCACUCAUAAAUCGGAUACUCAACAGCAGCCAAGUGCCCAAGCUUUUGAUUUAUCUUACUUAAAUAGGGAAUAAGUCAGCAGACUGUUAUUCACAUACACUCGUCUAUCCUUUGCAAAACUUCAAUCACCAUUCACUAUCGUAAGGUCCAGCUGAUAUACUCUCCUGUAAAAUAACUUGAACUCAAGCAUGGCCAUGAGAUGGUAAAUGGGGUUGCUUAAUCACUGGUGCGUUUAUUAAGUAAGGAUAUAGUGUAAAAUCACAAUCCAAAUUAUGUUCAAUUUAUUUGGAAGCUCUAUUGCAAAGUGUCUAGUUUCCUUUAGGUAUGAUGGCAAUGGGGAUAUUAAUGUUGUAAGGGGUUCAAGGUCAUCAGCUCAAGAGUUAGUGCAAUUACAACCACUCUGAAAGGUUAGUGCAGAUGUUCGUAUGUUGUUCUAAUUAACCUGUUAAUGAGUAUGUUACUUGUUCUCCCCAUCUUUCUUCUCUUUUCUUUUUCCUGAUUAGUUGUUUUCCCUGUCUCUCAUUUUUAAACAUGUUGAUAUUGUCCUUAUCAAAAAAAAAAAAGGACAUGUUGAUACUGUUUUUGUCAAGAGUCAUAUGAAUCUACUUCAUUCUUAAGAUGUAGGUAAGACAUUUACUAUAAGAUAUAUAACUUAAGCAAAAACGUUCUUGCUUAAUUAGAAACUGAAUGUUAUUAAAAAUAUCUCAAAAGUGCAAACACAAGCUCUUUUUUAAUUUAUUUUGACCGGAAGAGCGUAAUGUUUAUUCUUGAUUUUGUCAUUGAUGAGAAAUGUCUUCAAUCUUAAUGUGCGUAGCAUACAAAUGUAAAGGCGUUUUACUUUCAACUGCUAUUCUGCAAAGUUUCAAUUUAUGCAGAUGCUUAUCUUCUGAUGAGUCUGUUAGCUCAUAGGACAUGUAAAGUAUCUAUUAACUGUAUUUUCAUAGUUUCUCAUCAUUGAGUUGGAGCCUCUUCUUUCUUAAGACAAAAGAAGUGAAACUUGGUGCUUUGUAUUUCCUAAGGAAGCUUCGCCAAUUGGACCGCAUUUAGUAUGCCUAGAAGUUCCAUGACUGUGAUGGUCUACUCUAAAACAUUAAAUCGAACUUGGUGUGAGAAGAAAACAAGGAACAAUUAUUUGAUCCAAGCGAUUCCUUUUUCCGCAAAAUCCACCUGAAGUGAAUGGGGGUUUAAGCUUAACAUAAAGACUUAAUUGUUUCUGUUUAUCUAUAGGUAAACCAUAAGCCAUAGUUUCUCUAACAUUUUAGCUUAUAGUUGGUAUGUGGCUUUCGUCUUGUUAGAAUCUUUACAAUUUUGCACUAAUUGAUUGGUGAUAGCUUCUUGCUAACUGCAUAUUAGGCCAUGUUGCAAAACAUUAUAAAUGCAUGUUUAGUGUUUUCAACAUGUCUUCUUUUCAUAUUAUUAAAGACCAUUUAUUCCAAUGAUGUGUCAGGCAGCAAGGAGGAAUUAUUGCUGUAGGUCCUGCCAGGUUAGGAUUUUGAAUUAUGCAAUUUAUCCUGUUCACUUUUGAACUUUGUCUCAGUUCCUCUUUACAUGCUUAAAAAGGUUAAAUGUCUUUUUAAAUAUUGGAUUAUGCGAUGAAGGCAAUUAAGACUUUAAAAUUUUGAGCAUUGUAAUUUAGGGAGUUGUUUUAGACAGAAAGAGGAGUAUAUUUUUCUCUAUUUUAUAUCACUUCUCUAGUUCUUAGGAGUUACGGGUAAGUUGCUGGCACUACACUCAUGGUAGACAUCGGUCAUUGAAGUAUCUUGCAACUUGCUGAAAGAUUUGAUUCAGAGUAGCAUAGCUAGUUUGAAACUUUAAAGCUCAAAGAGGUCCAAAUACAUGGAUUCAAUAUAUUUUUCGAGUUCUCAGCCUAGCAAACAAUGUUUUGAGAAGGACAAAUAUAUGCAAAUCAACGCAACUUACAAUGUGGUACAACAAUGCACAAGCUGGAAGAAGAUUUUUCGCGUUACUAAAUAAAUAGAUUAGGAUUUUAUAAUACAAUAUCUUAGUUCCUUUUGUUAGUAAAAUCAUACUUUUAGGAAUCAGGUAGAUUUGGAACUAUGUAUUUUUUUGAUACAAUUGUGUCAUUGAUCUUUACAUUUAUAUUAUAUAUGCUAAUUUUCUUUG